GCUAUAUGAAAUUGAACUUGGUAACUCCUCUUUCCACCCCAACCCCUUUGCCAUCUGAACCUGGUUUAGGGGCCAAUUUGUUGCUGAGUUCAAUGUGGAAGCAGCUCAGCAAGGGAUUGUGUACAUUGAUGAAGUCGAUAAGAUAACUAAGAAGGCUGAGAGCUUAAACAUCAGCAGAGACGUAUCUGGAGAGGGCGUUCAACAGGCAUUGCUGAAAAUGCUUGAAGGAACUGAAAUGCUGUUGUAGAUACAAAACAGAGUGAGAAAAAUUAUUUCUUAUUCAACAACUUCAUCAUUAAGUGUGUUAGUCCCUCUUGAUGCGAAGAUAUGAAGCAACCCUCCUUUCCUCUCUUACAAGGGAGGUAUAAGCCCCUAGGAGGUCAGUAGACAUGACUAUCCUGAGCAUACAUCUGUUACCUAUCAAAAAAUAAAAAAUGAAAAAUCUUGAGGAUACUCUUGGUUUUAUAGCACUUUGAAGUUAAAAAGGGAAUUAAAAACCUAAAUCUGUUGCUUGUAAAAUCCCACAAGAAUGGAUGUGAUUCCCCUUAUUUGAUAGUUUGCCAAACCCCAACAUGAAAUUGUACUUGGAAGGAAAUUUUCUGAAGUUUUCUUCCUCUCCUCUCUUUUCCUUCACUAUGACCCUGAUACCAUGAUUGUGAGGCUUAUAGCUUAGAGCUGUGUUCUGGAAGAGCUUACUGUGUUUCUUAAAAAUUCAACUCAUCGGGGAAUCUUUUUCUGAUGCCUUUCCUUGAUGUCUGCAUCUCUCAUGCUCUUCAAAACAUUUUACAAUAAUCUAGUAGUUCAUUAAGGACAUUGAAUUGUGAAUAAACAAUUGAAUGUUUCUUAAAGUUUGUAAUCUCACUGUUAUCUUCAGACUUCAGAUGUUCUUUCUGUUAUGAAUCUCCUGAUUCUGUUGUAA
Long non-coding RNA from Vitis vinifera (wine grape), 919 nucleotides. RefSeq lists it as uncharacterized. NCBI's taxonomy places the organism in Eukaryota, Viridiplantae, Streptophyta, Magnoliopsida, Vitales, Vitaceae. The transcript is spliced from 4 exons. The record is from RefSeq and is a predicted model, not a curated record.